This 210-nucleotide long non-coding RNA is filed under the name Elaeis guineensis (African oil palm). RNAcentral describes it as "long non-coding RNA (EGUI_LNC006530)". Lineage: Eukaryota; Viridiplantae; Streptophyta; Magnoliopsida; Arecales; Arecaceae. The record is from RNAcentral.
CCAAAUAAAUCGUGUCUGGCUCAUGGGUUGGCAUACGGGCCGUGCCGGGCUUGGGCAUGUGCCAUGCCGUGCCUGACAUGACGAACUGUACCAGUCCAAGCCCUGAAAGGCUCUGCCGAGUCUGGGCCGUGGGCCACCAAACUCCCAGCCCUUAGUAUUGCGCACGGCCCGCUACAGCAGGUCUGCCGAAAGCGCUUGGUUUGGAUUAGG